AGCGUACACGGUGGAUGCCCUGGCAGUCAGAGGCGAUGAAGGACGUGCUAAUCUGCGAUAAGCGUCGGUAAGGUGAUAUGAACCGUUAUAACCGGCGAUUUCCGAAUGGGGAAACCCAGUGUGAUUCGUCACACUAUCAUUAACUGAAUCCAUAGGUUAAUGAGGCGAACCGGGGGAACUGAAACAUCUAAGUACCCCGAGGAAAAGAAAUCAACCGAGAUUCCCCCAGUAGCGGCGAGCGAACGGGGAGCAGCCCAGAGCCUGAAUCAGUGUGUGUGUUAGUGGAAGCGUCUGGAAAGGCGUGCGAUACAGGGUGACAGCCCCGUACACAAAAAUGCACAUGCUGUGAGCUCGAUGAGUAGGGCGGGACACGUGGUAUCCUGUCUGAAUAUGGGGGGACCAUCCUCCAAGGCUAAAUACUCCUGACUGACCGAUAGUGAACCAGUACCGUGAGGGAAAGGCGAAAAGAACCCCGGCGAGGGGAGUGAAAAAGAACCUGAAACCGUGUACGUACAAGCAGUGGGAGCACGCUUAGGCGUGUGACUGCGUACCUUUUGUAUAAUGGGUCAGCGACUUAUAUUCUGUAGCAAGGUUAACCGAAUAGGGGAGCCGAAGGGAAACCGAGUCUUAACUGGGCGUUAAGUUGCAGGGUAUAGACCCGAAACCCGGUGAUCUAGCCAUGGGCAGGUUGAAGGUUGGGUAACACUAACUGGAGGACCGAACCGACUAAUGUUGAAAAAUUAGCGGAUGACUUGUGGCUGGGGGUGAAAGGCCAAUCAAACCGGGAGAUAGCUGGUUCUCCCCGAAAGCUAUUUAGGUAGCGCCUCGUGAAUUCAUCUCCGGGGGUAGAGCACUGUUUCGGCAAGGGGGUCAUCCCGACUUACCAACCCGAUGCAAACUGCGAAUACCGGAGAAUGUUAUCACGGGAGACACACGGCGGGUGCUAACGUCCGUCGUGAAGAGGGAAACAACCCAGACCGCCAGCUAAGGUCCCAAAGUCAUGGUUAAGUGGGAAACGAUGUGGGAAGGCCCAGACAGCCAGGAUGUUGGCUUAGAAGCAGCCAUCAUUUAAAGAAAGCGUAAUAGCUCACUGGUCGAGUCGGCCUGCGCGGAAGAUGUAACGGGGCUAAACCAUGCACCGAAGCUGCGGCAGCGACGCUUAUGCGUUGUUGGGUAGGGGAGCGUUCUGUAAGCCUGUGAAGGUGUACUGUGAGGUAUGCUGGAGGUAUCAGAAGUGCGAAUGCUGACAUAAGUAACGAUAAAGCGGGUGAAAAGCCCGCUCGCCGGAAGACCAAGGGUUCCUGUCCAACGUUAAUCGGGGCAGGGUGAGUCGACCCCUAAGGCGAGGCCGAAAGGCGUAGUCGAUGGGAAACAGGUUAAUAUUCCUGUACUUGGUGUUACUGCGAAGGGGGGACGGAGAAGGCUAUGUUGGCCGGGCGACGGUUGUCCCGGUUUAAGCGUGUAGGCUGGUUUUCCAGGCAAAUCCGGAAAAUCAAGGCUGAGGCGUGAUGACGAGGCACUACGGUGCUGAAGCAACAAAUGCCCUGCUUCCAGGAAAAGCCUCUAAGCAUCAGGUAACAUCAAAUCGUACCCCAAACCGACACAGGUGGUCAGGUAGAGAAUACCAAGGCGCUUGAGAGAACUCGGGUGAAGGAACUAGGCAAAAUGGUGCCGUAACUUCGGGAGAAGGCACGCUGAUAUGUAGGUGAAGCGACUUGCUCGUGGAGCUGAAAUCAGUCGAAGAUACCAGCUGGCUGCAACUGUUUAUUAAAAACACAGCACUGUGCAAACACGAAAGUGGACGUAUACGGUGUGACGCCUGCCCGGUGCCGGAAGGUUAAUUGAUGGGGUCAGCGCAAGCGAAGCUCUUGAUCGAAGCCCCGGUAAACGGCGGCCGUAACUAUAACGGUCCUAAGGUAGCGAAAUUCCUUGUCGGGUAAGUUCCGACCUGCACGAAUGGCGUAAUGAUGGCCAGGCUGUCUCCACCCGAGACUCAGUGAAAUUGAACUCGCUGUGAAGAUGCAGUGUACCCGCGGCAAGACGGAAAGACCCCGUGAACCUUUACUAUAGCUUGACACUGAACAUUGAGCCUUGAUGUGUAGGAUAGGUGGGAGGCUUGGAAGUGUGGACGCCAGUCUGCAUGGAGCCGACCUUGAAAUACCACCCUUUAAUGUUUGAUGUUCUAACGUGGACCCGUGAUCCGGGUUGCGGACAGUGUCUGGUGGGUAGUUUGACUGGGGCGGUCUCCUCCUAAAGAGUAACGGAGGAGCACGAAGGUUGGCUAAUCCUGGUCGGACAUCAGGAGGUUAGUGCAAUGGCAUAAGCCAGCUUGACUGCGAGCGUGACGGCGCGAGCAGGUGCGAAAGCAGGUCAUAGUGAUCCGGUGGUUCUGAAUGGAAGGGCCAUCGCUCAACGGAUAAAAGGUACUCCGGGGAUAACAGGCUGAUACCGCCCAAGAGUUCAUAUCGACGGCGGUGUUUGGCACCUCGAUGUCGGCUCAUCACAUCCUGGGGCUGAAGUAGGUCCCAAGGGUAUGGCUGUUCGCCAUUUAAAGUGGUACGCGAGCUGGGUUUAGAACGUCGUGAGACAGUUCGGUCCCUAUCUGCCGUGGGCGCUGGAGAACUGAGGGGGGCUGCUCCUAGUACGAGAGGACCGGAGUGGACGCAUCACUGGUGUUCGGGUUGUCAUGCCAAUGGCACUGCCCGGUAGCUAAAUGCGGAAGAGAUAAGUGCUGAAAGCAUCUAAGCACGAAACUUGCCCCGAGAUGAGUUCU
This 2773-nucleotide ribosomal RNA is filed under the name metagenome. Its description in RNAcentral is "bacterial LSU rRNA". It matches the Rfam family "Bacterial large subunit ribosomal RNA". The record is from RNAcentral.